Molecule: long non-coding RNA, 4035 nt
Organism: Scylla paramamosain (green mud crab)
Lineage: Eukaryota; Metazoa; Arthropoda; Malacostraca; Decapoda; Portunidae
Exons: 7
Source: RefSeq, a predicted model, not a curated record
CCAUAGUAGGAAACACAACAGCUUCGUGUAGCAGAGUAGUAGUGAGUAUCGACGCACAGUUCGAAACACAGGAACCAGACUCACAUAGACCAUCCGCACAGGGAAGCUAGAGAUUCAGUGGGUUUCCUUGGGCCUGUUUCGCUCCUCAGUUCACCGUUUUUCUGGUGCUGUUGUCAUCCGGAAGGAGUAUGGACGUCCCAGGCGAGGCAGGCUCCUUGCUUCUGUCACGUGGUCUCGAUCAGGUGUCACCGACAAAGGUGUAAAACAAGUAAACUCUCGCUUUCAUGGUUGACAGAGCAUGAUACCAAGGUGGAAGAAAGGGAAGGAGAAGAUUUGCGAUGCCGCUUCUCACUCCAUGGCAUACUCGUGUCCUGCCUCUUCCACAUCCACGGUAAGCCUGCAGUGGAUAGCGUGUGGCCGUCACUGUUGCGUCGGCUGGGUUAUCUGUUCAGCAUUUCCAGCAUCUUCCGCCUCUGUGUCUCUGGGAUGACUAGUAUGGCGGCGUAGCGAUGGGUUCCUUGCUACCAAAGUGAAGUGGUUACCUGACUGGCUCUGUGGUUCUCGAGUUUGGUUUGUGGUUUGCUGACUGGUUGGGGACAGAGUACGUAAGGCUGCACAAACUGUUGGGCAAGAGGGAUGCAGAGGAGAGUGGUCGUGUGACUGUGUACUGGUUGUCUACACAACCACUGACUCGGAUAUAUACAAGUGAAUGUAAGUAAAUCAGAUCUCUGAAUCCUAACUUGGCUGUUUGAUUUCACUUUUAUAUGUAAGAGGGGGCACUGGCCAAAACAAUAAAAAAGAAAGAAAAAUGAAGCCCGCUAUGGUACCAGUCCCUAAAGAGCUAAAUGGACUAUAAAAACCUGAAGUACAAGUGUCUUGAAACUACAUUACAUUAGCUACAGAAACUACAUUACAUUAGCUACAGAAUAAGAAGAAAAUUAGCUGAUAUGGAAGAGCAAGGUGUAAUCUUAAUAUUCUUUUGUGUUUGUUAGCGUGAUGAGUUUUGUGGGUCUAGGCGCAUUGAGGAAGUUGAGGGAUAGAGCGGCAGCCUUGCACGGGGCUUUCCAGGGAGGCAGCAGUCAAUCAGUUCAGUUCAGUCAAGUAACUCGUUUGCUGGCAUUUGUUCACUUAUCUGGCCACUACAUUACAUCUUCAAGAAUUACACGAAAGAUUAAUCUGUUCCGUGAUUAACUAACCUACUGCUUAGCGUAAUGAGUGAUGGACCGAUUAGAUUAGUGACUGAGUGGAUGUCUAGAUUCUGUGCUUAUACCGACUGGCUGACUAGUUAGCUAAUUGUAAUGGCGACUGACUGUCCUGGUACCCAGCCAUGACUAGAGCUGACUGGAUGACUUAGCAAGUGGUUGAUGGCUUGUUUGACUGAGUGACCGCCUGACUGACUGAAUGACCUGUUAACCGAUUGACCGACUAAUUAGACGGUUAUGUGGCUGUAUGACUGGCUCUUUGGUGUCUGGUUGACCGGUAGGCUGGUUGGGCUGCCGGCUGGCGUCUGGCUGCUGAUCGGCUAAAGGUGGCUGGAGGGCGAGGGAAGGUGGGAACCGAAGGCGCCUCAGACAAAACCGCGUCGCAGUUGCCCUCCGCAGGGAUGUAGUGGAGGCCAGGACCGAGGAGGGGAGCCACACGAGGUGCUUUUUAGUGCUCACCCAGACCCUCUUUCCCUCCUCCUUCUCCUCCUCUUCCUCUUGCUGCUUCCUUCCCCUGUCCCCCGCCCCCCUCCUGCCCCCCAAACACCCGCCGGUCAGGGACGCCUAGCAAGAGAAAGUGACCUGACGGGUGUGUGGUUACCUCAGGCUCCCCUCCUCCACCACCACCACAGCGACCUCCUCCUCCACCACCACCACCACAGCCACCUCCUCCUCCACCAUGACCACCGCUACCGCCGUAAAUACAGCAAGGCCUGGGGAGAAGGGUAGCGGCUGGCCACAGCCUGCGCCAUCUCCACCCCGACGUGGGUGAAUUGCCGCAGUUGCUGCAGCCACAAUUUGUACAGCCCCACGCCGUUCUUGUCCACCUUUACGCUGUUGGUGCUGCUGCCCUCUGCAUACCAGGAAAACAGCGCCUCGCUCUUCUCGCGCCUGGGGGAGGAGCAGUGGUCCAGAAUCAAGUCUAAUGGAUGCGCUUCUGAAGGACACUUUGCUCGAAGAUUGCAUACAUACCAGACAGCCACCACUCGACAUGAGUCAAGCUUGUAGUGUCCCAUUUUGUCCGUUGGUCAACAUACAUUUCCCAAGUGCAUGAAUAUUCCUGGCACACAAGCUCCUCUGACCACUAGUGACAGGUGUGGGGUGCCAAGGGUUGCCUGCCACUGCCUACACAAGUCACAGAGUCCUGCCUCUCCAUCCCAGCCAUGCAUCUGCUUGCCCACAGCAGAGACAAAGUCCUCAAUUCUCAUCACCACCAGUGCUGCCUCAUCUGCUUGGCUCUCCUGAAGAAGAAUGAACAGUGAAAGUGGAUUGGCUCUGAAGAAGGUCACUGAGGCUGCCACUGGGCCAUCCACCACUCUGCAGGACACCCCUGCCUCCUGAAGCUGGCUGAGCACAAGGCCACCUUCCCUGGCCUCCACUAGCCUCCGCUCCAACUCCACCACCAGCAGCUGGGUAUGUCAGGCAACCAAUGUUUAUCAAUGCAUUAUAUUUGUUUUCAUGGCAAAAUGUUAACAUAUGUGAAAAUUAAGUUCCUAUUUUAAUGAUUCAAAAACUCAGUGCUGUUGCUAAGUUCAAAAGAGAACCUGAAGAUGAAGGGGAAAAAAAAUGCAUCUGAAAAGAUGGUGAAAGACUUACAGGACAUAAUCAUUGGAUGUGGAAAGCGAAAUGUUGGGAUUCUGUUAAAGUUUUACAUUCUCUCCCUCCUUUAUUAUAUAUUCCAUUAAUUUUGCUGUUUUCUUUGCCUUCACUCAAUAAUUUUCCACCUUGCUGCACUGUUUGAGUUGAUCCUUUUUUAUUAAGUAGGCUGAGAAAUAAAUGAACUGCUUUUAUGAACAUUUGCUUUGUCAAAUAAUUAAUCAAAGUCAGGUUAUAAAAAUACUGCCACAGUAUUUGCUGUGUAUCAUGAAAGGAAUGGAGUGGGAGAUUGGGAAUCCCCUCCUCUGUAUUCUUAUUCCUGCAAUGCAGCAAAGCAUGACAUCUUCUCUAAACUGCCCACCUCAUUCAUCAUCAGUACAUACUGGCAUUCAUCCUACUGUCAUCACCAAUAAUGCCUCUUAACUCAUUAUCGCAAUCAUGUGUACACUUUCACUCUUGCCACACAAUUCAAAGUGCAUUGCCUACCCAAAGCCUUUUAGUGAGUCAGACCAAAUACCUCUGUCUACUAUUCACCUUGAGACACUCCCCAGGCUUCUGGGCACGACUCAUACAUUUGUUCUCCUCUCGCCUUGCCUUGGCUGCUUCCUUUUCAAGGGCACGUUGGUGCUUCUCUGCUGCACGCCGCUGUUUUGCUUCCUCCUGCCACUGAUUCUUUUCUUCACGCCGCUGUCUUGCUGCUUCUCGUUCCUCUUUUGAUGUUGCUUUUCUGGGUUUUUUGACAGCCUAGAAAAUUUUGUAUAAUUCCUUUCCUUGAAGCUGCAAGUUUUUCAAGACUGCUUCACCAACACGUGGUGCAUCAAAUAUAUGUUUAUUGUGAUGAAUGGUUUACUUUCAGUUAUUCUGUAUUCUCUUAUUGUUUACUAUUUGGAUACUAUUUUGAUGGACUGUUUGCCCCACCUGCUGACUUCCUGAGGAUUGUGGGAGGUUGACCUUAUGGAGUUGUGGCUCCUUGUCACUAAGACAUGGUGCUACAAGCGGCCCCUCAUCACUGAGACAUGGUGCAUCAAACGGGUCUUCAUCACUGAGACAUGGUGCAGUAGGUGGCUCCUCCUCAAUGAGAUAUGAUGCUUCGAGUGGCUCCUCCUCAAUGAGACAUGGUGCAGCUGAUGGCUCCUCCUCAAUGAGAUAUGAUGCUGCAAGUGGCUCCUCCUCACUGAGACGUGGAGCUGCAAGUAGAUCAUCAUCAGCAUUGUUAUUAAAUAUCAUUUUCAGCAUA